CCUACGGGGUGCAGCAGUGGGGAAUAUUGGACAAUGGGGGAAACCCUGAUGCAGCGACGCCGCGUGAGUGAAGAAGUAAUUCGUUAUGUUAAGCCCUAUCAGCCAGGAAGAAAAUGCCGGUACCUGAGUACGAAGCACCGGCUAACUACGGGACAGAAGCCGCGGUAAUACGUAGGGAGCAAGCGUUAUCCGGAGUUACUGGGUGUAAAGGGGGCGUAGACGGCAGUGAAAGUCUGGAGUGAAAGGCGGGGGCCCAACCCCCGGACUGCUGUGGAAACUGUACGGCUUGAGUGAAGGAGAGGUAAGUGGAAUUCCUAGUGUAGCGGUGAAAUGCGUAGAUAUUAGGAGGAACACCAGUUGCGAAGGCGGCUUACUGGACUGUAACUGACGUUGAGGCUCGAAAGCGUGGGUAGCAAACAGGAUUAGAUACCCUUGUAGUC
RNAcentral lists this ribosomal RNA (440 nucleotides) under uncultured bacterium. Its description in RNAcentral is "partial 16S ribosomal RNA". It matches the Rfam family "Bacterial small subunit ribosomal RNA", at positions 338 to 795 of the family's 1533-position model. The record is from RNAcentral.